UUUAUGGAGAGUUUGAUCCUGGCUCAGGAUGAACGCUGGCGGCGUGCCUAAUACAUGCAAGUCGAGCGAACAGACGAGGAGCUUGCUCCUCUGACGUUAGCGGCGGACGGGUGAGUAACACGUGGAUAACCUACCUAUAAGACUGGGAUAACUUCGGGAAACCGGAGCUAAUACCGGAUAAUAUAUUGAACCGCAUGGUUCAAUAGUGAAAGACGGUUUUGCUGUCACUUAUAGAUGGAUCCGCGCCGCAUUAGCUAGUUGGUAAGG
Molecule: ribosomal RNA, 267 nt
Filed under: Staphylococcus epidermidis
Lineage: Bacteria; Bacillati; Bacillota; Bacilli; Caryophanales; Staphylococcaceae
Description: partial 16S ribosomal RNA
Rfam family: Bacterial small subunit ribosomal RNA
Source: RNAcentral